RNAcentral lists this ribosomal RNA (254 nucleotides) under uncultured bacterium. RNAcentral describes it as "partial 16S ribosomal RNA". It matches the Rfam family "Bacterial small subunit ribosomal RNA", at positions 524 to 776 of the family's 1533-position model. The record is from RNAcentral.
UACGGAGGGUGCAAGCGUUAUCCGGAUUCACUGGGUUUAAAGGGUGCGUAGGCGGGCAGGUAAGUCAGUGGUGAAAUCUCCGAGCUUAACUCGGAACUGCCGUUGAUACUAUUUGUCUUGAAUAUUGUGGAGGUAAGCGGAAUAUGUCAUGUAGCGGUGAAAUGCUUAGAUAUGACAUAGAACACCAAUUGCGAAGGCAGCUUACUACACAACGAUUGACGCUGAGGCACGAAAGCCGUGGGGGAUCAAACAGG